AGAGUUUGAUCCUGGCUCAGAUUGAACGCUGGCGGCAUGCCUUACACAUGCAAGUCGAACGGUAACAGGUCUUCGGAUGCUGACGAGUGGCGAACGGGUGAGUAAUACAUCGGAACGUGCCCAGUAAUGGGGGAUAGCUCGGCGAAAGCCGGAUUAAUACCGCAUACGCCCUGAGGGGGAAAGUGGGGGAUCGCAAGACCUCACGUUAUUGGAGCGGCCGAUGGCUGAUUAGCUAGUUGGUAGGGUAAAGGCCUACCAAGGCGACGAUCAGUAGCUGGUCUGAGAGGACGAUCAGCCACACUGGGACUGAGACACGGCCCAGACUCCUACGGGAGGCAGCAGUGGGGAAUUUUGGACAAUGGGGGAAACCCUGAUCCAGCAAUGCCGCGUGUGCGAAGAAGGCCUUCGGGUUGUAAAGCACUUUUGUCAGGGAAGAAAUCCUUUGGGCUAAUACCCUAGGGGGAUGACGGUACCUGAAGAAUAAGCACCGGCUAACUACGUGCCAGCAGCCGCGGUAAUACGUAGGGUGCAAGCGUUAAUCGGAAUUACUGGGCGUAAAGCGUGCGCAGGCGGUUGUGUAAGACAGGUGUGAAAUCCCCGGGCUUAACCUGGGAAUUGCAUUUGUGACUGCACGACUAGAGUGUGUCAGAGGGGGGUGGAAUUCCACGUGUAGCAGUGAAAUGCGUAGAUAUGUGGAGGAACACCAAUGGCGAAGGCAGCCCCCUGGGAUAACACUGACGCUCAUGCACGAAAGCGUGGGGAGCAAACAGGAUUAGAUACCCUGGUAGUCCACGCCCUAAACGAUGUCAACUAGUUGUUGGGGAUUUACUUCCUUGGUAACGUAGCUAACGCGUGAAGUUGACCGCCUGGGGAGUACGGCCGCAAGGUUAAAACUCAAAGGAAUUGACGGGGACCCGCACAAGCGGUGGAUGAUGUGGAUUAAUUCGAUGCAACGCGAAAAACCUUACCUACCCUUGACAUGGCAGGAACUUUCCAGAGAUGGAUUGGUGCUCGAAAGAGAACCUGCACACAGGUGCUGCAUGGCUGUCGUCAGCUCGUGUCGUG
This 1065-nucleotide ribosomal RNA is filed under the name marine metagenome. Its description in RNAcentral is "bacterial SSU rRNA". It matches the Rfam family "Bacterial small subunit ribosomal RNA", at positions 8 to 1069 of the family's 1533-position model. The record is from RNAcentral.